This 373-nucleotide ribosomal RNA is filed under the name uncultured organism. Its description in RNAcentral is "partial 16S ribosomal RNA". It matches the Rfam family "Bacterial small subunit ribosomal RNA", at positions 527 to 896 of the family's 1533-position model. The record is from RNAcentral.
GUAGGUGGCAAGCGUUGUCCGGAAUUAUUGGGCGUAAAGCGCGCGCAGGUGGUUCUUUAAGUCUGAUGUGAAAGCCCCCGGGCUCAACCGGGGAGGGUCAUUGGAAACUGGGGAACUUGAGUGCAGGAGAGGAAAGUGGAAUUCCACGUGUAGCGGUGAAAUGCGUAGAUAUGUGGAGGAACACCAGUGGCGAAGGCGACUUUCUGGUCUGUAACUGACACUGAGGCGCGAAAGCGUGGGGAGCAAACAGGAUUAGAUACCCUGGUAGUCCACGCCGUAAACGAUGAGUGCUAAGUGUUGGGGGGUUUCCGCCCCUCAGUGCUGCAGCUAACGCAUUAAGCACUCCGCCUGGGGAGUACGGUCGCAAAGACUG